This 407-nucleotide ribosomal RNA is filed under the name uncultured bacterium. RNAcentral describes it as "bacterial SSU rRNA". It matches the Rfam family "Bacterial small subunit ribosomal RNA", at positions 29 to 424 of the family's 1533-position model. The record is from RNAcentral.
AAUCAACGCUGGCGGCGUGCCUAACACAUGCAAGUCGAGCGCGAAAGGGGAGCAAUCCCCAAGUAGAGCGGCGAACGGGUGAGUAACGCGUGGGUAAUCUGCCUCCGAGUGGGGAACAACAUCGGGAAACUGGUGCUAAUACCGCAUAACAUCGUCGGGUUUUCGGAUCUGACGAUCAAAGCCGGGGACCGCAAGGCCUGGCGCUUGGAGAGGAGCCCGCGUCCGAUUAGCUAGNGGUGGGGUAAUGGCCCACCAAGGCUUCGAUCGGUAGCCGGCCUGAGAGGGCGGACGGCCACACUGGGACUGAGACACGGCCCAGACUCCUACGGGAGGCAGCAGUGGGGAAUUUUUCGCAAUGGGCGAAAGCCUGACGAAGCAACGCCGCGUGGAGGAUGAAGGCCUCGGUC